UACGGGGGGGGCAAGCGUUGUUCGGAAUUACUGGGCGUAAAGGGCUCGUAGGCGGCCAACUAAGUCAGACGUGAAAUCCCUCGGCUUAACCGGGGAACUGCGUCUGAUACUGGAUGGCUUGAGUUUGGGAGAGGGAUGCGGAAUUCCAGGUGUAGCGGUGAAAUGCGUAGAUAUCCGGAGGAACACCAGGGGCGAAAGCGGCCGACUGGUCGAGUACUGACGCUGAGGCGCGACGGCGUGGGGAGCAAACCGG
RNAcentral lists this ribosomal RNA (253 nucleotides) under uncultured bacterium. RNAcentral's name for it is "partial 16S ribosomal RNA". It matches the Rfam family "Bacterial small subunit ribosomal RNA", at positions 524 to 776 of the family's 1533-position model. The record is from RNAcentral.